AAUAAAGUGCCUGACUAAAGGGCUAUCUUGAUAGGAUAGAUAAUGUGAAUUUCACCUUUAUUA
This 63-nucleotide transfer RNA is filed under the name Xylosandrus crassiusculus. Its description in RNAcentral is "tRNA-Ile". Lineage: Eukaryota; Metazoa; Arthropoda; Insecta; Coleoptera; Curculionidae. The record is from RNAcentral.